RNAcentral lists this long non-coding RNA (3668 nucleotides) under Sorghum bicolor (sorghum). RNAcentral's name for it is "long non-coding RNA (SBIC_LNC018517)". Lineage: Eukaryota; Viridiplantae; Streptophyta; Magnoliopsida; Poales; Poaceae. The record is from RNAcentral.
CGGGCUUUCACUUGAGCCUCUUCACCUAGGAGUACCAUCGGGAACUUCCACAAUGUUUUCUGAGCCUAUGGUGCCCUGGGCACAAACUAUGCAACUAUCUUGCACCGAAACUAAUACUAUCUCCAACUGGACGGAAGCGAGAUUCCAUAUGAUAAACUUCAUCUAGUAGUUCCAUCGGGUGCAUCUACAGUUCCGUCGAGUGUGUCCAAAUUGAUUUCUGAGCAUAUGGUAUGUUCCAUGCAAAUCGUGCACCUAUCUUGCAUAAAGAUUGGAACUAUCUUCAAACAGAUAGAACCAAGCUUCCACAUGAGCCUCUUCACCAAGGAGUACCAUCGCGUGCGUCCAAAAUAGUUUUUUAGCCUAUGGAGCAUUUGGCACAAACCGUGUACCUAUCUUGCACCGAAACUAACACUAUCUCCAAAGAGACCAAAGUGAGAUUCUAUAUGACACACAUCAUCUAGGAGUUCUAUUGGGUGCUUCCAAAUAUAUUUUUAAGCAUAUGGUAUGUUCGAUGUAAUUCGUGCACCUAUCUUGCAUCAAGAUUAGCACUAUCUCCAAACAAAGCAAACUGAGCUUCCACUUGAGCCCCUUUACCCAGGAGUAUCAUCGGGUGCAUCCAAAAUGGUUUCUUAGCCUAUGAUGCAUUAGGCGCAAACUGUGUACCUAUCUUGCACCAAAACUAACUCUGUCUCCAAAUAGACCAAAGCGAAAUUCCAUAUGACACAUGUCAUUUGGAGUUCUAUUGCGAUGCAUCCAAAUAGAUUUCUUUGCAUAUGGUAUGUACCACGAAAACCGUGCACCUAUCUUGCAUCAAGAUUAGCACUAUCUCCAAACAGAUCGAACCGACCUUCCACUUGAGCCUCUUCACCUAGGAGUACUAUCGGGUGCUUCCAUAAUGGUUUCCGAGCCUAUGGUGCAUUAUGCGCAAAUCAUGCACCAAUCUUGCACCUAAACUGUCUCCAAACAGAUUGAAGCGAGAUUCCAUAUGACAAACAUGAUCUAGGAGUUCUAUCGGGUGCGUCCAAAUUGAUUUCUGAGAAUACGGUACGUUCCAUGCAAACCGUACACCUAUCUUUCAUCAAGAUUAGCACUAUCUCCAAACAGACCGAACCGAGCUUUCACUGAGCCUUCUUCACCUAGGAGUACCAUCGGGAACUUCCACAACGAUUUCUGAGCCUAUGGUGCACUGGGCACAAACCAUGCAACUAUCUUGCACCGAAACUAAUACUGUCUCCAACUAGACUCAAGCGAGAUUCCGUAUGAUACACUUCAUCUAGUAGUUCCAUCAGGUGCAUCUACAGUUCCAUCGGGUGUGUCCAAAUUGAUUUCUGAGCAUAUGAUAUGUUCCAUGCAAACCGUGCACCUAUCUUCCAUCAAGAUUAGAACUAUCUCCAAACAGACAGAACCAAGAUUCCACAUGAGCCUCUUCACCAAGGAGCACCAUCGCGUGCGUCAAAAAUAGUUUCUUAGCCUAUGGUGCAUUAGGCACAAACCGUGUACCUAUCUUGCACCGAAACUAACACUAUCUCCAAAGAGACCAAAGUGAGAUUCUAUAUGACACACAUCAUCUAGGAGUUCUAUUGGGUGCUUCCAAAUAUAUUUUUAAGCAUAUGGUACGUUCGAUGUAAUUCCUGCACCUAUCUUGCAUCAAGAUUAGCACUAUCUCCAAACAAAGCAAACUGAGCUUCCAAUUGAGCCCCUUUACCCAAGAGUAUCAUCGUGUGCAUCCAAAAUGGUUUCUUAGCCUAUGAUGCAUUAGGCGCAAACUUUGUACCUAUCUUGCACCAAAACUAAUUCUGUCUCCAAAUAGACCAAAGCAAGAUUCCAUAUGACACAUGUCAUCUAGGAGUUCUACUGCGAUGCAUCCAAAUAGAUUUCUUAGCAUAUGGUAUGUUCCAUGAAAACCGUGCACCUAUCUUGCAUCAAGAUUAGCACUAUCUCCAAAGAGAUCGAACCGACCUUCCACUUGAGCCUCUUCACCUAGGAGUACUAUCGGGUGCUUCCAUAAUGGUUUGCGAGCCUAUGGUGCAUUAUGCGCAAACCAUGCACCAAUCUUGCACCUAAACUGUCUCCAAACAGAUUGAAGCGAGAUUCCAUAUUACACACAUGAUCUAGGAGAUCUAUCGGGUGCGUCCAAAUUGAUUUCUGAGAAUACGGUACAUUCCAUGCAAACCGUACACCUAUCUUCCAUCAAGAUUAGCACUAUCUCCAAACAGACUGAACCGAGCUUUCACUUGAGCCUCUUCACCUAGGAGUACCAUCGGGAACUUCCACAACGAUUUCUGAGCCUAUGGUGCACUGGGCACAAACCAUGCAACUAUCUUGCACCGAAACUAAUACUAUCUCCAACUGGACUGAAGCGAGAUUCCAUAUGAUACACUUCAUCUAGUAGUUCCAUCGGGUGCAUCUACGGUUUCAUCGGGUGUGUCCAAAUUGAUUUCUGAGCAUAUGGUAUGUUCCAUGCAAACCGUGCACCUAUCUUGCAUCAAGAUUAGAACUAUCUCCAAACAGACAGAACCAAGAUUCCACAUGAGCCUCUUCACCAAGGAGUACCAUCGCGUGCAUCCAAAAUAGUUUCUUAGCCUAUAGUGCAUGAGGCACAAACCGUGUACCUAUCUUGCACCGAAACUAACACUAUCUCGAAAGAGACCGAAGUGAGAUUCGAUAUGACACAUGUCAUCUAGGAGUUCUAUUGGGUGCUUCCAAAUAUAUUUCUAAGCAUAUGGUACGUUCGAUGCAAUUCGUGCACCAAUCUUGCAUCUAGAAUAGCACUAUCUCCAAACAAAGCAAACUGAGCUUUAACUUGAGCCCCUUUACCCAGGAGUAUCAUCGGGUGCAUCCAAAAUGGUUUCUUAGCCUAUGAUGCAUUAGGCGCAAACUGUGUACCUAUCUUGCACCAAAACUACCUCUGUCUCCAAACAGACCUAAGCGAGAUUCUGUAUGACACAUGUCAUCUAGGAGUUCUAUUGGGUGCGUCCAAAUGGAUCUUAGCAUAUGGUAUGUUCCAUGCAAACCGUGCACCUAUCUUGCAUCAAGAUUAGCACUAUCUCCACACAGAUCGAACUGACCUUCCACUUGAGCCUCUUCACCUAGGAUUAUCAUCGGGUGCUUCCAUAAUGGUUUCUGAGCCUAUGGUGCAUUAUGCGCAAACGAUGCACCAAUCUUCCACCUAAACUAACAAUGUCUCCAAACAGAUUGAAGCGAGAUUCCAAAUGACACACAUGAUCUAGGAGUUCUACCGAGUGCGUCCAAAUUGAUUUAUGAGAAUAUGGUACGUUCUAUGCAAACCGUACACCUAUCUUUCAUCAAGAUUAGCACUAUCUCCAAACAACCGAACCGGGCUUUCACUUGAGCCUCUUCACCUAGGAGUACCAUCAGGAACUUCCACAACGAUUUCUGAGCCUAUGGUGCACUGGGCACAAACCGUGCAACUAUCUUGCACCGAAACUAAUACUAUCUCCAACUGGACGGAAGCGAGAUUCCAUAUGAUAAACUUCAUCUAGUAGUUCCAUCGGGUGCAUCUACAGUUCCAUCGGGUGUGUCCAAAUUGAUUUCUGAGCAUAUGGUAUGUUCCAUGCAAACCGUGCACCCAUCUUGCAUCAAGAUUGGAACUAUCUUCAAACAGACAGAACCAAGGUUCCACAUGAGCCUCUUCACCAAGGAGUAUC